This is a long non-coding RNA of Haliotis rubra (blacklip abalone), 184 nucleotides long. RefSeq lists it as uncharacterized. The record is from RefSeq and is a predicted model, not a curated record. NCBI's taxonomy places the organism in Eukaryota, Metazoa, Mollusca, Gastropoda, Lepetellida, Haliotidae. The transcript has 3 exons.
CAGAUCACCAGUUGCACUCAUGGCUGUAACACCCGUGUGAAAGCCACGCCAUGGUGCUCUCCGUGGGUCUUGUUCUACUUCUUGCAGUAACUUCCACACAGGCGGCAGUGUGCAGGGACCGCCAGGAGUGUUCAGACUGCGACAAGAGAGGACAUUGUACAAACAGAAUGUAACACUGGGUAUU